GACGUAGGUGGCAAGCGUUAUCCAGAAUUAUUGGGUGUAAAGGGCGUGUAGGUGGAAAUGCAAGUCCGAAGUUGAAGACCAAGGCUUAACCUUGGAAAAGCUUUGGAAACUGCAAUUCUAGAGUACAGGAGAGGAAGGCGGAAUUAUCAGUGUAGCGGUGAAAUGCGUAGAGAUUGAUAGGAACGCCAAUGACGAAGGUAGCCUUCUGGACUGAUACUGACACUGAGGCGCGAAAGCUAGGGGAGCAAACAGG
RNAcentral lists this ribosomal RNA (253 nucleotides) under uncultured bacterium. RNAcentral describes it as "partial 16S ribosomal RNA". It matches the Rfam family "Bacterial small subunit ribosomal RNA", at positions 524 to 776 of the family's 1533-position model. The record is from RNAcentral.